AAAAUGAUAACAUCAUUAUAUAAGAACAACUAUCAACAUGAUAUAUAUACUAAAUGCCGAAGGAGGAGUCAACUACUGAGUAUUAAAGUAGUAAUGUCCCAACCAUCUCCGAACAAUGGACGGUGAGAGCUUGCUGCUCCAGCCAUUCUUGAUUUCAGUCAGCCAUCAACCAAAUUUAGACAAGAAACAAAGUACCCAAAUCCGAGGAACCAUGUUGUCCAAGUCUUCAGCUCUAAGCACCAUUGCCAGCCUUUGCUUCUUCUGGUUCUUGAUUUUCAGUUUUCCUUCUUCAUGUUCAGCUCUUGAAACCAAUGCCACUGACUAUGAGGCUUUGAUGGCCUUCAAAUCCCAUCUUCUGCUGCAACAAGACAGCAUCUUGGCCACCAACUGGAGCUCGACUGCUCAUUUCUGCAGCUGGUUUGGAGUUAGAUGCUUGAAUCAGAGAGUGAUCAGUCUGCUGCUUUCAGGAUUGGCUCUUCAGGGACAGUUAUCUUCAGAUAUUGCUAAUAUGAGUAAUCUUGUUGUGAUUGAUCUUAGCAGCAAUGACUUGGGAGGUGUUUUGCCGAGUGAAUUGGGGUUCUUGCAGCAGCUGAGAGUUCUGAAUGUAACAAAGAAUUCUCUCCAGGGGAGGAUUCCGGCGAACCUGAGUCAGUGUGGGGAGCUUCAAGAACUGGAUUUGUCAUACAACUUCAUAGCAGGGAGCAUACCUGAGGAGCUUGGGCGUUUGAGCAAUCUUCGGCACUUAGCCGUCGACCACAACAAUCUCACGGGUAGGAUUCCUGCUUCUUUGGGUAACUUUUCGAAGUUGGAGUACUUUUAUCUGCAUGAGAAUGAUUUGGUUGGUGAGAUCCCAGUGGAACUGGGGAAGCUGGCUAGUGUAACGGUGAUGGCCCUCCGUGGUAAUAACCAUACUGGCUCGAUACCUGAUUCGAUCUUCAACAUCUCAACGAUGCAAGUCAUGGACCUUUCUAUAAACGGGCUGUCAGGUCAACUCCCCAAGAGUCUAGGCAGCCAUCUGUCGAGCCUUGAACACCUUUUCUUGGACAGCAACAGGAUUACUGGGAGAAUUCCAACGUUUCUGUCUAAUGCAUCGAAGCUUACCAAACUGUUUCUGACUGAGAAUGAUCUGAGUGGAAAUAUACCGAAUGAAUUCAGUGAGUUGCAGAACUUGGAGUGGUUCGAAUUUGAAUACAAUCAAAUCUCUGGUGGCAUCCCGUACAGUCUCUUCAACAUUACAUCACUUCAAAUACUAAAAACCAGACAUAAUUACCUUAGCGGUGAUCUUCCUCAUGAUCUUGGUAAUUGGCUUCCUAAUCUUCGAGAGAUUUUCUUGUCGCAUAACCAGUUUAGUGGAGAAAUACCCCCUUCAAUAUGCAAUGCCACAAAGCUCACCACCCUGGAGGCUUCAAACAACAGCUUUAACGGGCCAGUUCCAAUGAUGCUUGGAAACCUGGUAGCACUUGAGCAUCUUAACCUCCAAGUCAAUUUAUUGGUUAACAAUCCCUUGUCCACUCGUCUUGACUUUUUCGACUCGUUGGUUAACUGUAGGAAUCUACAAUAUCUUGUCCUUGAUUCUAAUCCUCUCAAUGGCAUCAUACCAGACUCGGUUGGAAACUUAUCGAGCAAUCUCAAAGUCUUAACAGCCAUAUCCUGUAAGCUUAAGGGUGGCAUUCCACAUAGUAUUGGCAACUUGAGUAGUUUGCAUUUCUUGGGAUUAUCUAAUAACAAUCUACAAGGCAAAGUACCCUCAUCGUUCGUUGGCUUGCAGAAUUUAGAAAGGAUAUAUCUAACAGGCAACAAGUUAGAAGGCACUAUUCCAACUGAAUUCUGUAGCAUACAAGUUUUGGGGAUCCUACAUCUUGGAGAAAACAGUUUUUCAGGAUCAAUACCCCUAUGUUUUCAGAAUCUAACUGAGUUAAGAGAGAUUUCUCUGGCUGCUAACAGAUUAAACUCUACUGUGCCUUUGCGUUUCUGGGAUUUGGUGAAGGUGGAAGGUGUAAACUUGUCCAGGAAUCAACUACAUGGCAUGCUACCGGUGGAAAUGGGAAACUUGAAAGCAGUUAAUAUCAUAGACCUCUCUUCUAACAACUUCUCGGGUGAAAUUCCAAACUCGGUAGGGAGCCUUCAGAACCUACUUGCACUUGAUAUGUCGCAGAACAAAUUUCAAGGUCCUAUACCAAACAGUUUGAGCAAUCUGAUAGUCAUUGAAUUCUUGGAUCUGUCCUUAAAUGAGCUCUCUGGUGGUAUUCCUCCAUCCCUUGGAUCACUUCGCGAUCUCAAGUAUCUAAAUCUUUCUUUCAACAUGCUACAGGGAGAAAUCCCGACAACUGGAGUAUUCACAAACAUUACUUCAGAAAAUUUGAUGGGGAAUCCUAACUUGUGUGGAGCUCCUAAAUUGAACUUUCCAAUGUGCUCAGCUCGAGGCCCCGGGCAAGGAAAGAAAUCGUCUCUAGUUCUCAAGAUAACAAUCCCCAUUGCUGCAACACUUCUUGUGGUCAUAUGUCUUCUUGUGUGGCUCAGUUUGUCAAGAAAGAAGCACCUGAAGAAUCCAACUGGAUCAGAUUCUGUCCCAAUAGGACAUCAGGUCAUCAGCUAUUAUGAGCUUCUCAGAGCAACAGAAAGUUUCAGCGAAUCCAACUUAUUGGGGAAGGGAAGUUCUGGUAUGGUGUAUAAGGCCGAUCUUUCAGAUGGUACCGUUGCAGCAAUCAAGGUUUUCAAUAUGGAGUACACCAGGGCUCUGCAAAAUUUCGAUGCUGAAUGUGAGGUUUUAAGCAAUGUGAGGCACAGAAACUUAGUCAAAAUAAUCUCCAUUUGCUCAAAUAUGGACUUUAAGGCUAUGGUGCUGGAGUUCAUGCCUAAUGGAAGCUUAGAUAAAUGGUUGCACUUUGAGAGCAAUUCCUUAAGCCUUGUCCAAAGGCUCGAUAUUGUGAUUGAUGUUGCAAUGGCCAUUGAGUAUCUCCAUCAUGAUUAUAUGAUGCCGAUUGUGCAUUGUGAUCUAAAGCCCUCGAACGUGCUUCUUGAUGAGGACAUGACAGCUCAUGUUGCUGAUUUUGGGAUCGCGAAAAUUCUGGCUCAAGAUGAAGAGCUAAUCCGGACUAAGACUCUGGGAACUAUUGGGUACAUUGCUCCAGAAUUCGGUUUAGAUGGCCAUGUAUCCACAAAGGUUGAUAUCUACAGUUUUGGGAUUCUGCUGUUGGAGACAUUCACAGGGAAGAGGCCAACAGAUAAUAUGUUUAGAGAAGGCUUGAGUCUGCAUCAAUGGGUAAUCAAAUCAUUCCCUGGUGCCCUGAGAGAGGUGCUGGAUCCCAAUCUUAUUUAUGACCUUAAUUCUGGUGAGGAAGGUGUAACCAAGAAACAGAGCCAGGUGGGAGAGUUGCUCGUGCCGAUCAUUCAUGUGGCCUUGCUUUGCUUGAAAGAAUCACCAGAGGAAAGGAUUGACAUGAGAGGCAUCUCGGUACAGCUAAAGAAAAUCAGAGCUGAACUGAAGGAUGGUUGUGGCAAAUAGUUUAUGCAGGAGUCUCACCAUGAGCCUCACACUAUUAACUCUGUGAAGCAAGACUAUCUACCUCACACAGAAAACACAUAACACCAGUCAGAAGGAAUUACCACAUUUUACUGAACACCAAACGGGAAUUAGCAUCGCAAGAAGCGUACCUGACCAAGUAAGCUGAGAGCAUAACAAUCAAAACCAUGUCGAGAAAAGAAGGGCAGCCAGUGUUCAGCCCA
This is an RNA transcript of Sesamum indicum (sesame), 3726 nucleotides long. RefSeq lists it as uncharacterized. Lineage: Eukaryota; Viridiplantae; Streptophyta; Magnoliopsida; Lamiales; Pedaliaceae. The record is from RefSeq and is a predicted model, not a curated record.